Transfer RNA from Sclerotinia sclerotiorum, 116 nucleotides. It matches the Rfam family "tRNA". Rfam says of the family: Transfer RNA (tRNA) molecules are approximately 80 nucleotides in length. Their secondary structure includes four short double-helical elements and three loops (D, anti-codon, and T loops). NCBI's taxonomy places the organism in Eukaryota, Fungi, Ascomycota, Leotiomycetes, Helotiales, Sclerotiniaceae. The record is from Rfam.
GGUGAGAUGGCCGAGUUGGUCUAAGGCGCCAGGUUAAGGUAAUAAACUCUUAACAAACGGUUGUUCACAAUCUCCUGGUCUAGUAAUAGGCGUGGGUUCGAAUCCCACUCUCAUCA